UCAGACCCCGCGCUGUCCGCAGCGGCCGUGUGAGUAGUCGGGUUGGUACGUGGAGUGAAGCUGCUGGGCUGCUGCUCUUCUUGCCGCUGCCAGGCUCAGGGCCGCUGGUCGACCCCCACCCUCCGCGCUCCCCUUGGCCUCGAUGUUCUCACCUUACGGGCGGCUCUUUGCAGAAGCACGAGCUCCUCGCCCCGCUCCUCUUGGUUAUCCCGCGCCCCCCCUCGUCUCUCUUCCUCCCGGUCCGCAGUGGUCUCCAGGGUUCUUGGAUGGUCGGAGCUAUGGCGUCCCGACAUGCAGCGGGCCGCUGUUUGCCUACUCCUCAUCAGGACCCUGCCCUUGGAGGGCGACGACCCCCAUCCCAGCCGGAAAUUCCACUUUGGCUUCUAACCUCUCCUCGCCUGAUGUUCCUGACGUCGUUCUGGACUUCUUUGAUUGCAAAAACUAUGCAAAUGAAAGUGGUCCAGAAGGUUUUGGACAGGAUGCUGAUGGGAUAUGGUAUCCAUCUGACUCCACAUAUUGGAGGUAAAUUCAUGUGUAGACACCUGGGGUUUUUCUGUUGAGGAGAGCUGAAACACAGGAAGGCAGCCCACCACGUAAGCAUACCAGUGGCCCUCUCCCAGGCUCUACAGCUUUGCCUCUCGAGAUCCCACCUUCCUGACUUGCAGAGACCUGCAGUCGGGGUGCUCCUGGGCUCCCAACCUCCAGGCCUUUUGCUCUGACCCUGGAAUUUCUCCCACUUCUCUGGCUUCACAUGCACGAGGCCUUCUGCUCGCUCCACACUCCCUUGAGAAGGUCCCACACGUGAAGUACACUCCCUGGUGUGAGUGGAGGAGCACUACCCACAGAAUGGGCGUGCAGGCCAGAGGGCGCUAUGGUGCUCAAGGUAGAAUUUUCUGCUCCAUCUGUCAGGCUCUAUGGGGAGGGCAGUUGAGCACACCUUCUGUGCACCCUGGGUACUCACCAUAUAGAGUUUCUUCAAAACUGAGCAUGUGAUCUCUGUCUAGUCUACGUCACCCACCCGGGACCCAGGUGCUUGCCCCUCUGUCCCGCAAGCCUUCAACUCCCACCAGGUUGGUUGUAUUGGUUCUACCUCCGGAAAACAUCCCAAGUCUCUUCUUAUCUCUCUGUUGACAUGAGCCACCCCCAGAUCAGGCCUUGGGCAUCUUCCUACUGAAUUUCUGCAGCAACUUCCCAGCCUCUCGUCGCCCUAAUAUUAGUGUUGGUCCCUCUAAUCCAUUCAGCACACUGCAGUCAGCAUGGUCUUUAUAAAUCAAGCCUGAUUAUGUCAGGAACAUCUGAUGACUUCAGCUGUCCAAUAAAACCCAAACCCUUUAGCCUAGCAUUCAGAUUUCUAGAGCAGAGGUGAGAACUGGCAAAGAAAGAGAAAUAGAAACCACCACGAAGCCAAUGAGUCAGUUUCUUUCUGUAUUCCCUCCUAGCCUUCCCCUUAGAAAGGGCAGCUAGCCUGGGCCACACAGCUUGAAGUGACAGGAAACCUGCCCUAAGCCCACAGAACAGGAGUAGUAUUCUUUGGCCCAGGGAACACCCAGGAACCCUAAGCCAAUGACAGAGAAAAGGAAGGGUACAUUAAUUAGAGGUUCUAUGGGAGGUUGAACUAGAUACCAACUCUGAAGAGCUAAUGAACGCUCAUAGUUCAUAUUUGUGGAAAUGAAUACAAGCCUUCUGAAUAUGCGGUGCCUCCACCCUAGAAAGCACACGGCUGUGAGGAUUUGGCACUUGGGGGUAGACCAGUGAGGGCACCAUUUGCCCUGGGAGCUACCUGGAAAACCAAGGCCAUUGCCCUGGGCCCUGAGCUUUGGAGGUGGGUCCCCUGACUGUUGCUUUCCCUUUGCUGCAUUGUUCCCUCCAGCGUGUGAGGGGAUAAGGUGUAGCGCGCAUGUUCCAAGGUGAGUGUGUGUGUACCUAGGGGCUGGGAGGCUGGGGUGGAGAAGGCAGAAAGCAAGCUCCUUCAGUAGCCUUACGUUAGAAGGACAGCAGUGGCUCUAGGUGGGGACCUUAGGGAGGAGAGCGAGGGCUAGAGGGCUGGGUAUAGGGGAAUUCAGGUGUUAGAGCACAGCCCCUGCCCCUUGUAUGAUAUCGUUUGGGUCAGUGGGCUCAAACACUGGUCGGUGUCAGGGAGUAGCUGCCUCCUUUCCUCCUUUCCAUGUUCUCCUAUAUCUGAGCAGAGACUUAACAACCACAAUUUAAAAACACCAAGCACAUUCUCCCAUUGUUUUAAGCAAGAUAGCAUCUCAGCAGGCAUCCAGGGCCAGAAGGAGGGAACAGGGCCGAGGGCCAAGCUCUGGGGAUUGUCAGGUGUGGAUAAUCUUCAUUAUCUCUGAGGCACCUCAUCACCAUCUUUCGGACUCUGAUCUGUUUACACCUGCUGCCUAAGGUGGGAGGGGGUGGGUUACAUUACUUUUUUGGUAUGCAACCCUGGGACAUAUGAGACAAACGAGGUCCCUGGAUAGAUUUGGCCAAAUAUUCGAUGAAGAGGGGAGUGCAAGAACAACUUUAGUCUUUCUUUAUACAGAAGGGGGCACCGCAGGUGCUAAGUCUGGGGAUGUCGUGUGUGUGUGUGUGCACGUGUGUGCACGCACGUGUGUGCACGCACGCGUGUGAGUGUGUGUACUUGGGGAGCAGGGAGGACAGUAGGUGGGGUAGUUGCUCUCUGAAUGGAGUGCGUGGCAGGGCUGGGGGAAGAGGAGAACAAAGCCGAACACUUUGGGGCAAGGUGUGUGUCCUAGGAGGUAACUUCCCUGCCUGGCCUGCAACUGCAGCAUGCUCUGGAGAGGAAGGAAGCUCAGCCCAGGGGGGCAGGAGAAGAGGAAGGUGAGCAUCUGCCAGGGGCCCAUAGAUACCACGGGAGCAAGGUUAAAGUUGCUGGGGGUGUCUCGCUGGGAGAAAAGAGCACCUGGAUAGAGAUUUGCAACUUGAUUCUGGAAGAGAGUGAGACUCUAGCAAUCAAGGAGUGAACAUACCGGCUUACAUUUUGAAUUGCUUUAAUUGAAGGAAGAAAGAGGCAGCAGGAGAAUGAGAGCUGACACUGGACAGAGUUGAGUAGAGACGUCAGGACAGAGAGGAUGAGGGAUGAGGGUCAAGAACAGUGAGGACAGGAAGGAGAACACUGCCUAGAGAGAAGUGGUAGUCUCAAGAGCACUCAAAACCCAUUCGAACCAUUGCCUGCUCCACGGGCAAGUUGAGCCGAGCCCAUCCCCAGGUCUGUGAGGUUAUCAGCGGCAAGCAGGAUCCAGGCGGUGGCACCUACCCUGGGAGAGUCACCUGCCAUCACACCUGUUCCUCUUCUCAAGCAGGGCUUCGGGGAGAAUGGGCCAAGGGCUUCAGAGUUUAGGGACCCCUAGAUCUCCCUGUGAGGCCUCCCACUAGAUUGAGUCGAACCUCUCUUUGUGUGUGAGGUGGAGGAGAGCCUCAGGGUUUAACCCGUUCUUCCUCUUCCCCCACAAGUUCGCAAGCAGAAGCCUUGGGAACUUUGUCCUGUUCAGGUUCAAAGAGGAGCUUUAUUUUCCCUCGAGAAGGGGCAGUGAGAAGGGGAAGAGGAGGAGCCAGGGAGAGCUAGCAAAGCGGCUUCCCUCUGGGCAAGAGAACUGGAAGCCACAGUGUUGUGAAAAGCAGCUGCCUGAGGGCUUCGCCCAGCCCAGCACCUCCUAUGACACAGGCACUCCCAUAUCGUGGAGUGAAGGAAUAAAUGAGACAUUUUUUAUUCUUC
Long non-coding RNA from Aethalodelphis obliquidens (Pacific white-sided dolphin), 3727 nucleotides. RefSeq lists it as uncharacterized. Lineage: Eukaryota; Metazoa; Chordata; Mammalia; Artiodactyla; Delphinidae. The transcript is spliced from 3 exons. The record is from RefSeq and is a predicted model, not a curated record.